CUUGACUGUAUCCUGGAAUUGGGUUCGGGCUUUUCUUGCGCAGCCUAGGUGGGAGGCUAUGAAGAUUUCCUUCCGGGGAAGUUGGAGCCAUCAGUGAGAGACCACUCUGGAGAGGCUAGAAUCCUAAUGGUGAUCCUUGAAUCAGGACACUUGACAGUUUCAGGUGGGCAGUUUUUCUGGGGCGGAAGCCUCAUAAAGGGUAACUGAGGCGCGCAAAGGUCCCCUCAGUCUGGACGGAAAUCAGACAACGAGUGUAAAGGCAAAAGGGGGCUUGACUGCAAGACCUACAAGUCGAGCAGGAGCGAAAGCUGGCCUUAGUGAUCCGACGGCGCUGAGUGGAAGGGCCGUCGCUCAACGGAUAAAAGUUA
This 368-nucleotide ribosomal RNA is filed under the name uncultured organism. RNAcentral's name for it is "bacterial LSU rRNA". It matches the Rfam family "Bacterial large subunit ribosomal RNA", at positions 2099 to 2465 of the family's 2925-position model. The record is from RNAcentral.